GUUAGCGUGGCACAAUCAGGCCCUGCGA
RNAcentral lists this transfer RNA (28 nucleotides) under Eleutherodactylus riparius. Its description in RNAcentral is "partial transfer RNA-Leu". Lineage: Eukaryota; Metazoa; Chordata; Amphibia; Anura; Eleutherodactylidae. The record is from RNAcentral.